CAUUACGUGAAACCUCGACAAAGGCCUUGGGAAGGCUUUUGCUACAUCAACUUGCAUUGAGCCUUCCAACACAGCAAGAGUGGUUAUCGAUAUCCUUUCAUCGAUAGUCUCAGCUUUGCAUGAUGACUCGAGUGAGGUCCGAAGAAGAGCUCUCUCUUCACUUAAAGCUUUUGCAAAAAAUAACCCGGCAGCAACCAUUGCCAAUGUCAGUGUUAUAGGGCGCUCCGCUGCUGAAUGUUUGAAAGAUGGAAGCACACCAGUGAGACUUGCUGCCGAAAGAUGUGCUAUGCACGUGUUCCAGUUAACAAAGGGCGCAGAAAAUGUUCAAGCAGCUCAAAAAUAUAUCACAGGAUUGGAUGCCCGACGGUUAUCCAAGUUGCCUGAACAAAGCGAUGACAGCGACGAUAGUGAAGAUGAUGAUGGGCGUGGGUAGGAGGAAACUUGUGUUCUCUCCACUUCGUAGAAGAGGUUCAUUGGUUUUUCCCUAUACGCAUUUCUGCAAAAGCAUUAUCCCGUGAGUUGCGGAUGAUACUUGAUCUGGAUUCAUUGGCAUGAGACUAGCAACAGUUACACCGAUGAGAUAGAUUAUACCUUGUUUUGGUUUAUCAAAUAUUUGUUUUUUUGCUUGCAAAUUAUGUACUGGUUUUGUAAUGUCGGAAAUGGUUUCUCUUCA
Brassica napus (rape) is the source of this 673-nucleotide long non-coding RNA. RefSeq lists it as uncharacterized. The transcript has 4 exons. Lineage: Eukaryota; Viridiplantae; Streptophyta; Magnoliopsida; Brassicales; Brassicaceae. The record is from RefSeq and is a predicted model, not a curated record.